CCUACGGGCGGCAGCAGUGGGGAAUAUUGGGCAAUGGGCGCAAGCCUGACCCAGCAACGCCGCGUGAAGGAAGAAGGCUCUCGGGUUGUAAACUUCUUUUAUCAGGGACGAAGCAAGUGACGGUACCUGAUGAAUAAGCCACGGCUAACUACGUGCCAGCAGCCGCGGUAAUACGUAGGUGGCAAGCGUUAUCCGGAUUUACUGGGUGUAAAGGGCGUGUGGGCGGGAAAGCAAGUCAGAUGUGAAAACCAUGGGCUCAACCUGUGGCCUGCAUUUGAAACUGUGUUUCUUGAGUACUGGAGAGGCAGACGGAAUUCGUGGGGGAGCGGUGAAAUGCGUAGAUAUUAGGAGGAACCCCAGUGGCGAAGGCAGUCUGCUGGACAGCAACUGACGCUGAGGCGCGAAAGCGUGGGGAGCAAACAGGAUUAGAUACCCGAGUAGUC
RNAcentral lists this ribosomal RNA (443 nucleotides) under uncultured bacterium. RNAcentral describes it as "partial 16S ribosomal RNA". It matches the Rfam family "Bacterial small subunit ribosomal RNA", at positions 338 to 795 of the family's 1533-position model. The record is from RNAcentral.